UACAACGAGUCGCAAACUCGCGAGAGUAAGCUAAUCUCUUAAAGCCGUUCUCAGUUCGGACUGUAGGCUGCAACUCGCCUACACGAAGUCGGAAUCGCUAGUAAUCGCGGAUCAGCAUGCCGCGGUGAAUACGUUCCCGGGGAUUGUACACACCGCCCGUCACACCAUGAGAGUCGGGAACACCCAAAGUCCGUAGUCUAACCGCAAGGAGGGCGCGGCCUAAGGUGGGUUCGAUAAUUGGGGUGAAGUCGUAACAAGGUAAC
This 263-nucleotide ribosomal RNA is filed under the name uncultured bacterium. Its description in RNAcentral is "partial 16S ribosomal RNA". It matches the Rfam family "Bacterial small subunit ribosomal RNA", at positions 1238 to 1500 of the family's 1533-position model. The record is from RNAcentral.